CAGCAGCCGCGGGAAAACGAAGGGUGCAAGCGUUACUCGGAAUUACUGGGCGUAAAGCGUGCGUAGGUGGUGGUUUAAGUCCGUUGUGAAAGCCCUGGGCUCAACCUGGGAAUUGCAGUGGAUACUGGGUCACUAGAGUGUGGUAGAGGAUAGUGGAAUUUCCGGUGUAGCAGUGAAAUGCGUAGAGAUCGGAAGGAACAUCUGUGGCGAAGGCGACUAUCUGGGCCAACACUGACACUGAGGCACGAAAGCGUGGGGAGCAAACAGGAUUAGAUACCCGGGUAGUCCCUGUCUCUUAUAC
Molecule: ribosomal RNA, 301 nt
Filed under: uncultured bacterium
Lineage: Bacteria
Description: partial 16S ribosomal RNA
Rfam family: Bacterial small subunit ribosomal RNA
Source: RNAcentral